AAAAAAAAAAAAAAAAAAACCGAAUGUCUGACACCAACAGCAGUAUCACUUACUAUACACUUUUUAGCUCAUGAACAAUGUCGAGGUUCGAGACAAAUAACCACAAUCCCUGUAACUGAUUUUCCAUAAUUUUUUUUUUUUACUUGAAAACAAAAAUACAUAAGUUUUGGGGAAAAAAAAAUUCAAUUGAAAUUCAUUUGUAAAAUAAUUUCUUUCUGUAGCAAACAUUCAUUUUCUGUGCAUAAGAGAAGAAUAAGCAAAAGCAGUAGCAGUCUGUUUGGUCCCUCAGAAACCCAACAGAAAACAACUCACACAGUUACCAUUAGUUUGAAUUUCCAAAUACAAUUUCGAUCAAAACAAAAC
Molecule: unclassified non-coding RNA, 363 nt
Filed under: Hevea brasiliensis (rubber tree)
Lineage: Eukaryota; Viridiplantae; Streptophyta; Magnoliopsida; Malpighiales; Euphorbiaceae
Source: RNAcentral